Molecule: ribosomal RNA, 494 nt
Filed under: uncultured bacterium
Lineage: Bacteria
Description: partial 16S ribosomal RNA
Rfam family: Bacterial small subunit ribosomal RNA
Source: RNAcentral
GACGAACGCUGGCGGCGUGCUUAACACAUGCAAGUCGAACGGAAAGGCCUGCUUUCCCUUGUGGAUUGCGGGUACUCGAGUGGCGAACGGGUGAGUAACACGUGAGUGAUCUGCCCCCAACUUGGGUAUAAGCCUGGGAAACUGGGUCUAAUUCCCGAUAGGACUGCAGGGUGGUGCCUGUGGUGGAAAACGAUUUUCUAGUGGUUGGGGAUGAGCUCGCGGCCUAUCAGCUUGUUGGUGGGGUAAUGGCCUACCAAGGCGGCGACGGGUAGCCGGCCUGGGAGGGUGGACGGCCACAGUGGGACUGAGAUACGGCCCAGACUCCUACGGGAGGCAGCAGUGGGGAAUAUUGCACAAUGGGCGGAAGCCUGAGGCAGCGACGCCGCGGGGGGGAUGACGGCCUUCGGGUUGUAAACUCCUUUCGACCGCGAGGAAGCCACCUGGUUGGAAGGGUGGUGACGGUAGUGGUAGAAGAAGCACCGGCUAACUACGUG